RNAcentral lists this ribosomal RNA (470 nucleotides) under uncultured bacterium. Its description in RNAcentral is "partial 16S ribosomal RNA". It matches the Rfam family "Bacterial small subunit ribosomal RNA", at positions 28 to 507 of the family's 1533-position model. The record is from RNAcentral.
GACGAACGCUGGCGGCGUGCUUAACACAUGCAAGUCGAACGAUGAACGCGGGCGCUUGCGCCCUACGGAUCAGUGACGAACGGGUGAGUAACGAGUAAGCAAUCUGCAACGCAGUCUGAGAUCAGCGAAGGAAACGCCGACUCAUACCGGGUACGACGCGGGCGGGGAUGCUCUCCGAGAGGAAUGACCUUCGGUUAGGGAUGAGCUCGCGGCCUAUCAGCUUGUUGGUGAGGUAACGGCUCACCAAGGCGACGACGGGUAGCCGGCCUGAGAGGGUGACCGGCCACACUGGGACUGAGACACGGCCCAGACUCCUACGGGAGGCAGCAGUGGGGAAUAUUGCACAAUGGGCGCAAGCCUGAUGCAGCAACGCCGCGUGAGGGAUGACGGCCUUCGGGUUGUAAACCUCUUUUAGCAGGGAAGAAGCGAAAGUGACGGUACCUGCAGAAAAAGCACCGGCUAACUACGUG